This 722-nucleotide ribosomal RNA is filed under the name uncultured bacterium. Its description in RNAcentral is "bacterial SSU rRNA". It matches the Rfam family "Bacterial small subunit ribosomal RNA", at positions 111 to 821 of the family's 1533-position model. The record is from RNAcentral.
UAACACGUAGGUAACCUGCCCAUGUGCCCGGGAUAACUUCUGGAAACGGAUGCUAAAACCGGAUAGGUAGCGGACAAGCAUUUGACUGCUAUUAAAGUGGCCUUGGCCAUGAACAUGGAUGGACCUGCGGUGCAUUAGCUAGUUGGUGAGGUAACGGCCCACCAAGGCGACGAUGCAUAGCCGGCCUGAGAGGGCGGACGGCCACAUUGGGACUGAGACACGGCCCAAACUCCUACGGGAGGCAGCAGUAGGGAAUUUUCGUCAAUGGGGGGAACCCUGAACGAGCAAUGCCGCGUGAGUGAGGAAGGUCUUCGGAUCGUAAAGCUCUGUUGUAAGAGAAAAACGGCACUCAUAGGGAAUGAUGAGUGAGUGAUGGUAUCUUACCAGAAAGUCACGGCUAACUACGUGCCAGCAGCCGCGGUAAUACGUAGGUGGCGAGCGUUAUCCGGAAUGAUUGGGCGUAAAGGGUGCGUAGGUGGCAGAUCAAGUCUGGAGUAAAAGGUAUGGGCUCAACCCGUACUGGCUCUGGAAACUGAUCAGCUAGAGAACAGAAGAGGACGGCGGAACUCCAUGUGUAGCGGUAAAAUGCGUAGAUAUAUGGAAGAACACCGGUGGCGAAGGCGGCCGUCUGGUCUGGAUUCUGACACUGAAGCACGAAAGCGUGGGGAGCAAAUAGGAUUAGAUACCCUAGUAGUCCACGCCGUAAACGAUGAGAACUAGGU